Python bivittatus (Burmese python) is the source of this 1892-nucleotide non-coding RNA. The record is from RefSeq and is a predicted model, not a curated record. NCBI's taxonomy places the organism in Eukaryota, Metazoa, Chordata, Lepidosauria, Squamata, Pythonidae.
AGUGGGCUGCCAAUUCGGAGUUUGGAAAGGGGGCGGGGGGAGAGGAGGCUUGCUUUCAGCGGCUUUCGGAAAGGAGCGGCCUCGGUGGGAUUCCUCCGCGAUUGUUGAGCCUGUUGUGGAAUGCUCCGUACUCCGAACCUUCCCUUGUUUCGCAAUGAACCCUUUCCGGCCAUGUAUUGGCUGCCUACAGCCAUUAUACAGUCACCCAGUCCACGUUUCAGCCUCGCCUGUUUGGCGAGCUCAGUCGGCGCGCUGAGUUUAGGGUGCAGGAGGCUGGAAUUCAGACCAGUAUUUCUCAGUCUCGGAGCCGUUAAGCUGUGUGGCUGGCUGGGGAGUUCUGGGAGUUGAGCUCCACGCAGCUUAAAGGCUCUGAGAUUGAGAAACAUGGCUUAGACGAUUGGGUCGACGGAGUAAACCGUGGCUCGCUUCAGCCUGGCUAAACGCCCCGUAUGAUCGCUGCCAGCGUUAUCCCUGCACGGACUUCGCCGGACUUCUUGCUUCCAAAGACUCAAAGUAAAAAGGAGGAGAGGGAUGAUGAUGACGACGAUGAUGAUGAUGAUGACAGGUGUUUUUGAGUCUUAGAGGACUGUUGUAAGGAUGAAGGGGAUGGAUGGAUGAACAGGAAGAAUGAUGUAUGCUGCUUUGGCUCCUGGAGAAAAGUUGAUAUAUGUAAAUAUAAUAAAUCAUUUCUGACUGCAGCCUUAAUAAGUAAUUUAAGUGAUGCAUGAUUUGGGUAUAUGUCCCUAUCUAAGUUUCUAGUUUGAAAGGUUAUAGGCUAUGGCACAUUUUUAAAUGAAGAUUUUAAAAAUAGAAGCUUAUCCAUUAUUAAACUCCACUCAUUAUUCUAGAAGUGCCCUUUUCUUAUUGCAUUGCUUUGUGUUAUCACAAGUAGUUAUAAUCUCCAAUGAUAACUCUGUGUUUAAUUUUAUAUUACAGGUGUCAGAAUAUGGACAUUUGCCAGUAUUUCACCAUUCUUUGGAAAGACUUUUAAAAUUAUGUCUUUAAUAUCUUAAUUCUUCAUUGGUUAGUAUGAAGAUACAGAGAGGGUUUGCACUUAGCCAAAAUACAACAAUCAUAAUAACUACCUCCCUUCAACCUUCUGGUUCUGAUUUUUUAACUAAAAGGGCCACAUGCAACCUCAGUCUUAAUGCUAUUUAAACAAGUGUUCUCUCUCACUGGAUUUAUUUGUAAAAUUCCAUUUACAAUACUGAACAAGAAAUUCAAGUCCUUGCUGAAUGUAUUUUCUUGCAAAUUAAAUAAACUGAAGUUUUAAUUGGCACUUAACUGCUCAUAACAGAUUGCUGUGGUCUCAGCCAACAUUUAGAAACAGCCUAGGCUGGAUUUAAAAAAAAAAAGUAUUACGGCUGAGAUUUGUCUGAAGGAAAUCAACAAGAGUAGUAAACACUUUUUUAAAAAAGAAAAUGUUUUCUCCUCUGACUUCUGCUUUCCAGCUGUUUGUUUAUUGAACUACACAUAACACAAGCUUUUUACAUAACUGCAUCUAUGCUUUAAGGCAAAUUUGACAGAAUAUUAUUAUUAGAAUUGUUUCUGUCUAAACCGAUUUAUUCACACACACAUGCACUCAAAAAAAGUUAUUCUGAAUAAGCGCUAUUGCAAUAUAAACAUGGUUAACUGACUGGGAAAACAAACCUAAAAUAUAUAUUUACUUAAAGCAUUCCUACCUCACUUUUUGAAAACAGCUGCCAGACAGGCUUAUAAGAUUAGUUAUGGUAGAUUCUGUCAUAAAGCCUACAAAGUUUAGUAAUGAGACAGAUCCUGCCAUGAUAUACAAAAAAAAGGGGUUGGGAAGAUAGAAAAAAAAAACAUUAGUUCUUAGUUUAAACAUUCUUAUAACUUAAAUGCACAAUUUGAUUGAUUGAUUGAUUGAUUGA